CGUAGGGUGCGAGCGUUAAUCGGAAUUACUGGGCGUAAAGCGUGCGCAGGCGGUUUUGUAAGACAGAUGUGAAAUCCCCGGGCUCAACCUGGGACCUGCAUUUGUGACUGCAAGGCUAGAGUACGGUAGAGGGGGAUGGAAUUCCGCGUGUAGCAGUGAAAUGCGUAGAUAUGCGGAGGAACACCGAUGGCGAAGGCAAUCCCCUGGACCUGUACUGACGCUCAUGCACGAAAGCGUGGGGAGCAAACAGGAUUAGAUACCCUGGUAGUCCACGCCCUAAACGAUGUCAACUGGUUGUUGGGUCUUUACUGACUCCGUAACGAAGCUAACGCGUGAAGUUGACCGCCUGGGGAGUACGGCCGCAAGGUUG
Molecule: ribosomal RNA, 370 nt
Filed under: uncultured organism
Description: bacterial SSU rRNA
Rfam family: Bacterial small subunit ribosomal RNA
Source: RNAcentral